RNAcentral lists this ribosomal RNA (163 nucleotides) under uncultured bacterium. Its description in RNAcentral is "partial 16S rRNA". It matches the Rfam family "Bacterial small subunit ribosomal RNA", at positions 355 to 510 of the family's 1533-position model. The record is from RNAcentral.
UAGGGAAUCUUCCACAAUGGACGCAAGUCUGAUGGAGCAACGCCGCGUGAGUGAAGAAGGUCUUCGGAUCGUAAAACUCUGUUGUUAGAGAAGAACACGAGUGAGAGUAACUGUUCAUUCGAUGACGGUAACUUACCAGAAAGGGACGGCUAACUACGUGCAG